AUAAUUAAAGCAAUAUUAUUAUUAUAAAAUUCUAACAUCUUGUCAAAGAUGAUAUCAUUGAAUCUCUAUGUUUUAUUACUAUCUACAUUCCCGCCAAAUAAUAGGUUAUCAUGAUAGGACGCGUAAGAUAAGUACAUGUCAUAUUACCCUUACCAAAAACUAAUCUAGCUAUUUCCGAAGAAAUGUUCAAACAAAACGUAUCACAGCAUAGUAUACAGACACUUUGAAACAAUAUUAUAAUACAAAUCUUGAAGGAUGUUGAAUGGAGUAUCUUUUACGCGAAGCAAUGUUACCACCAUUGAAACUAUUUAUAUUUUCCUCCAUAUCAGUGAAAGUGGAAGGAACUUUUUAUAAAUUUAAUCAUUUCGUAAGUUCAACAGGAUCACUCCUUAUUAUUUAAGACAAGAGUAAUCAUUCUGCAUUAUUUAGUAAGAACCUGUAUGU
Molecule: long non-coding RNA, 444 nt
Organism: Bombus terrestris (buff-tailed bumblebee)
Lineage: Eukaryota; Metazoa; Arthropoda; Insecta; Hymenoptera; Apidae
Exons: 3
Source: RefSeq, a predicted model, not a curated record